Molecule: non-coding RNA, 78 nt
Organism: Anoxybacillus flavithermus WK1
Lineage: Bacteria; Bacillati; Bacillota; Bacilli; Caryophanales; Anoxybacillaceae
Source: Rfam
UAAUUUACAUAAGUAGCUGAAUCAUCAGAAGUCAGCAGAGGUCAUAGUACGAAUCGGUCUAGAACGAUUCGGAAGGAC